Long non-coding RNA from Pieris rapae (cabbage white), 387 nucleotides. RefSeq lists it as uncharacterized. NCBI's taxonomy places the organism in Eukaryota, Metazoa, Arthropoda, Insecta, Lepidoptera, Pieridae. The record is from RefSeq and is a predicted model, not a curated record. The transcript is spliced from 2 exons.
UUAUGCAUAACUUAAAGUAUAAGAUUAAUGUCAUGUAAAACAUCAUAAAAUGCGGUCAUGUUUAAGAAUAACUGUAAUUAUUACAUUAGUAAUAAUGUCCGUGGCCGGUUCUUUGGGAAUUAUUCCCAACAAUCCAGCGAAUUAUUUAAAGUAUUUUAAUUUGAAAAACUUUAAUAUUUUAUUUCCCAGAUAUAAUACUCGAUGUGUGCUACACGAAAAAGACCAUUUCAAUAUAAUCAGCAGUGACGGUGCUGUCUUAGUGGCAAUUAAAGCGUAAUGUGGAAACUGAAAUAAUAAAACAAUCAAUGUUAGAUAUACCUAAUUCUGUUUAAUGUUUGAAAUCCAAUGGAUCUGUUUAAAAAUAAAAUCGAAAGUUAAUGAGAACUA